GGCCGUGACCUCCAUGGGAUCAUGGCCGCCAUCUCUGUGGUAUCAUGGCCGCCAUCUCUAUGGUAUCAUGGCCGCCAUCUCUAUGGUAUCAUGGCCGCCAUCUCUAUGGGAUCAUGGCCGCCAUCUCUAUGGGAUCAUGGCCGCCAUCUCUAUGGGAUCAUGGCUGCCAUCUCUAUGGUAUCAUGGCCGCUAUCUCUAUGGUAUCAUGGCCGCCACCUCCACGGGAUCGUUGCCACCAUCUCUAUGGUAUCAUGGCCACCAUCUCUAUGGGAUCAUGGCCGCCAUCUCUAUGCCAUCAUGGCCGCCAUCUCUAUGGGGUCAUGGCCGCCACCUCCACGGAAUCAUUGCCACCAUCUCUAUGGUGUCAUGGCCGCCAUCUCUAUGGUAUCAGGGCCACCACCUCCAUGGGUCAUGGCCGCCAUCUCUAUGGCAUCAUGGCCGCCAUCUCUAUGAUAUCAUGGCCGCCAUCUCUAUGGCAUCAUGGCUGCCACCUCCACGGGAUCAUGGCCGCCAUCUCAAUGGUAUCAUGGCCGCCAUCUCUAUGGUGUCAUGGCCGCCAUCUCUAUGGUGUCAUGGCCGCCACCCCCUCCACCAAUGUCGCCCCCCGCAGGUGGACGUGAGCGCGGCGGUGGCCUACACCAUGGCGGCCAAGGAGGAGGUGGAGCUGCAGCUGAUGCGCAAAGCGGCCGCCGUCACCUCCGAGGUCUUCAGCAAGUUCUUCAA
RNAcentral lists this long non-coding RNA (723 nucleotides) under Numida meleagris (helmeted guineafowl). Its description in RNAcentral is "lncRNA (ENSNMEG00000001003.1)". The record is from RNAcentral. Lineage: Eukaryota; Metazoa; Chordata; Aves; Galliformes; Numididae.